RNAcentral lists this ribosomal RNA (444 nucleotides) under Triticum aestivum (bread wheat). Its description in RNAcentral is "partial small subunit ribosomal RNA". The record is from RNAcentral. Lineage: Eukaryota; Viridiplantae; Streptophyta; Magnoliopsida; Poales; Poaceae.
AUGCCGCUCGUCUCGCUCCGGGCAAAGCUCAACACGCUUCUGGCCGUCAUGCACGCCUCGGGCGCGCUGGACGAGCAGUUCAAGCAGCUGCGGGCGAUGGAGGAGGAUGGCAGCGCGCCCCCGGGCUUCGUCGCCGACGCCGUCACCCUCUUCAUCCGCGACGCCGACAGGAUCCUCACCGACCUCGCCGGACUCAUGAAGCAGCGCGUGGUGGACGUCGACAAGGCGGACGCCCUGGUGCGUCAGCUCAAGGGGAGCUGCAUCAGCAUUGGUGCUAAGAAACUGGGCGUCUCCUGCACAUACUUCCGUCGGUUCUAUAAGGAAAAACCCAAAGGAUGCCUCUUUGUGCUGACUCUUUUGAGGAAUGAGUUCUAUGAUGUGCGCAACAAGUUCCAGACCAUGAUGCAUCUGGAGCAGCAAAUCGAGGCCUACAGUCCUAAGUAA